Non-coding RNA from Salmo salar (Atlantic salmon), 58 nucleotides. Lineage: Eukaryota; Metazoa; Chordata; Actinopteri; Salmoniformes; Salmonidae. The record is from Rfam.
UAGCUCAAUUGGUAGAGCAUGGUGUUUGCAACGCCAGGGUUGUGGGUUCGAUUCCCAC